RNAcentral lists this long non-coding RNA (425 nucleotides) under Androctonus crassicauda. The record is from RNAcentral. Lineage: Eukaryota; Metazoa; Arthropoda; Arachnida; Scorpiones; Buthidae.
ACUCGCUGUAGCCACUACGGGGCGCGCGCAGGUCGCGGAUUUCCCUGUAGCUAGUCCCCGAGUCUUGCCAACCCCCGGCACUGCCAGUUAAUCAAUUGCUCCCUAGUUCCUGCGCGCGGGUCCCCUGCCCCGCCGUCUCCAGCCAUGCGAGAUCGCGAGUAGGCCUCUGGCCUUGCAGACCUCUGGAGCGCGCGGAGCCCCUCUCUGUACUCGUCCACACCAAACAGCUUGGGAUUCAGACACUGAAGUAUUUUUUCUCUUCGAUCUCGGACACCUCCUCUGUCUCUAUUUACUAGCCAUGUGAACUCGGCCAAAUCACUUCACCUCCCUGAGCCUCAGUCUCCUCAUCCGUCAAAUGGGGGUUUAUAAACACCUACCUCGCAGGGUUGUUGUGAGGACUUAAUGCGAUAAUGUAUGUAAAGCGC